Molecule: long non-coding RNA, 1438 nt
Organism: Rhododendron vialii
Lineage: Eukaryota; Viridiplantae; Streptophyta; Magnoliopsida; Ericales; Ericaceae
Exons: 3
Source: RefSeq, a predicted model, not a curated record
GUUCCUUAAAAAUGCUAUGAUAAAGAGAGCGGAAAAAAGGGAGGAAAUCAAUAGCGUUCUUUUCACUUUCCAUAGCGUGUAAAAGAAGAAGGAAAAAGGGCGCUGAAAUUUUUUGCACUCCCGCACGAUUGAAAUUCAGUUCCCCCUAAAUAUCUGCGAUUUUGUUUCAAGCUCCAACUUGUUUAAUCGAAAAGAGCUCGCCACUCGUCUUCUAUCUCUGGUGUUGGGAAACUUUUCUUGGGCUUCGGAGAAGGCGAUUAGUGAGGCAGUGUAAGCAUAUAUACAGAUCUAUACUCUUGUCCGAUGGGCUUUUGAUGGUUUUUCCGUCAGUGAUGAUGUGGUGGUUUUCGGCAACAGACGCAAUGUAUCUAGUAUACUGUUUCUUCAUAUUCUUUGAUGCUUUGUUUUACACUUCAGUGUGCUUGAUGCUAAUUCAUUCCUUCUUCUUGUUGGGGUUUCUUAUCACAAAAUCGAGCUGCUACUUUUGUGAUGAGUUGAUGACAAAUCUGAUACUUUUUCUUCAUUUUUUCAACCACAUUUUGCAUUCGAUAUUAUGUAGGAGCUUUGAACAACAAAUGGGAAAGAUAUAGAUCCGGUGUGAUUGCCUGUAAUUCAACCUAGUUUAGCUUGACUGAAACAUUGUGUAGAUUUAAAAUAAAAUGUCUGAAUCAUUGUUUGAUCGUAGCUAGUGUAGACUGAAAACUUUUGAAUCAUGGUUUAGGAUAUUGUGAUGGUUUACAGUAAUUGUUGGUUAACUUUUCCCCUUUUUAUGUCUUAGCCACUUUGAACCCUUUUGUAUGUUUAAUUAAUUCGCUCUUAUAAAAAAAUUGAUAAUACACAUGUUCUUUGAUUAGGACAUGUAUUUUAAUUUCGACCGAAGACCUAACUUUUAAUACACAUGUGCUUUGAUUAGGACAUAAUACGAGUUCCUUGCAUGCUUUGGUGGAGAUUCAAGAACCAUAUAAAAGACAUCACCACAACACCAAGAUGGCAAGAAGCUCGCCAUGGCACAAAUGCGACCCUGUGCUGGUGAAAAUGUGCAUCGUUCAAAUGGCAAGGAGGGCUUCCAUAUAGGGUAAUCCUGCUACUUUGUUUUGUCCAGGUAGCAUAGGAUUUCCCUCCAAAGGGAAGGAACCUAAGGUAUACAAAUGAUUAGCCUUUCAUAGGGGUUUUAAUCCAUGUUCGUCAAAAGUUAUCACUGUGAACUUUAUUUGAAUUUUGAUCUGUUGAGUAGAUUUGUUGGAGUUAUUUGGAAACUUAUUGAAGAAUACAAGUCUGCAUCUAACUGUUUUGGCGCAUUUUAGCCAAAAUAUUGAACUUUAAAAAGCCUUGUUCAACUGAUUGCACUAGUAAAUAUGAUGUGAAUUGUGGAGCUUUUUUCCAAUAUGGUUUGAUAGUUUUAGCCUUAGGAGCAUGGGUCCUUUGUCAUCUUUUAAAC